Long non-coding RNA from Physella acuta, 316 nucleotides. RefSeq lists it as uncharacterized. NCBI's taxonomy places the organism in Eukaryota, Metazoa, Mollusca, Gastropoda, Physidae. The record is from RefSeq and is a predicted model, not a curated record.
CAGACAACGCCUUUUGUUUCAAUACAGUUGGAUCUUUUUUUUGCUUUUGUGCAAUAGGUUUAGCCCUUCAAAAUAGAACACACUGUACAGACUGUGGACCUAUGAUAACUACCUUUCCAGGAUAUUUGUAUUCUGGAUCAUAUGGAGAUUAUUAUUAUGUAGGAGUUGUGUGUUCCUGGACUUUAAUUGCCCCGGAUGAUGAAAACAUCUCUUUUAGUUUUCAGAAAAUCUAUAUAUAUUCUGAUACUGUAGUUUCGAUCUUUGAUGGAGUCAAUUCCAGCUAUCCUCUAUUGGGACAGGAAAGCACUACUGCCAA